CGUGUCUCUAGUGUCAGCAGCCGCGGUAAAACGUAGGGUGCAAGCGUUGUCCGGAAUUACUGGGUGUAAAGGGAGCGCAGGCGGGAAGACAAGUUGGAAGUGAAAACCAUGGGCUCAACCCAUGAAUUGCUUUCAAAAACUGUUUUUCUUGAGUAGUGCAGAGGUAGAUGGAAUUCCCGGUGUAGCGGUGGAAUGCGUAGAUAUCGGGAGGAACACCAGUGGCGAAGGCGGUCUACUGGGCACCAACUGACGCUGAGGCUCGAAAAGCAUGGGUAGCAAACAGGAUUAGAUACCCUGGUAGUCCAUGCCGUAAACGAUGAUUACUAGGUGUUGGGGGA
Molecule: ribosomal RNA, 338 nt
Filed under: uncultured bacterium
Lineage: Bacteria
Description: bacterial SSU rRNA
Rfam family: Bacterial small subunit ribosomal RNA
Source: RNAcentral